CCAAUGUCCCGCCAGCAAGAACGACGCGCGGCAACAGGAUUCUUCUGCGAGCAAGCCUUUACUGUGUUACAGCUCUUCUUAGUGUUACAGCUCUCUUAGUGUUACAGCUCUCUUGAACAGGGACCCCGAGCAGCAAAAUCGCUCGGCUUAUAUAGACAACAGUAUGCUAAUUAUCUCUCAGGGAUUGGUGGGGCUUGGAUCACCCCACUACUUGUCCUCCAGGGAUUGGCAGAGAAUGAAUCACCUCAUUAGCAUAUUAACGGUCAACUAACACCUGGUGCAUAAACCGCACAUGUGCAGUACCGCUGUUCACCACUAGAGGGAGCCCUAGCAAGGGGACAAGCCUGCACAUGCGCAGUAAGUCGUUUAUAUCCAGACAAGGCUGGAUGUCGGCGCCAUCUUUGUUUCGCCGCGCCGCUCUCUACAGACUGGGCUUGGCAGACAGCCAUAUUGAGUGACCGAUCCUAGCAGGAAGGAGACCAGAUAGAUACCUGCAGUCCAGUUCAAUAGUAUCAGGAUAACAGUUAUGAAUCAGCAGCAGUGGCAUGAUCCAGCUGAAACAGCCAGGCCUCCUACUAAUUGGCAUAAAUCAGCAAGAGCUACUGGGAGACCAGCCAGGACAUGAAGAGAAGUUCUCUGCUGUGCCUCCCUCUUAAAGAAGGAAUGAUCAGAGAAGAAGAGAGACCAAGGAAGAACUAGCUAUAUAUCACAAAGCAGCUUGUCUGGCUUCUAGCAUGGGCUGAAGACCAAUGGCUCUUUAAAAUUUUUUCAAGUCUUCCAUGCCAAGUUGAGAGUGCUGUAAAUCCAACCUCAUGGACUGAGGAGACACAAGAUUCUCAGCCCCUUUAAUGUGAAGUGAGUCAUUGUUGGACUACCAAGAAUACAUUAUGUAAGCUCUUCUAACAAAUUACCUUUUAAUGAAUAUUUAUUCUAGUAGUCCUGUUCCUCUAGAUAACGCUGACUAAUACUGACACCAUCACAAUUAAAAAGAACUCCAAAGCAACAUUUAGGAAGUAGAAAAGGCCACCACAUAAUGAGAGAACAUACCUGCCAAUCAUCUCCAAUACAAUUCUACUAACAAGAAUUAAGAAGCCACUAUGACACUUCAGUAACAUCAAUGUACUCAUAACAAAAAAUAAGCAAAGUCUCUGAGGAGGUAAGUUUACAAAGAGUAUCCAAAAUAAAUAAUCAGUGCAUGGAAAGAUGAAGUAAGGAGAUGAAAUACAAAGCCAAAGAUUACUGCUUCACCACUUCCAAAAGGCAGAGCAUAGAAAGCUAUUUCAGGUGUGGAAUGACUAGAGUUCCCAUACUGUUGUAAAAAUAUAGAAAAUAAAAGGCUGUCUUUAUACCCCACUAGGUCCAGCACCGCAGUGCCCCAAGAUAUCUGUUGGAUAUCUUAAUUCUCAGUCAGCAAAGCCUCUCACCUGCUCUGCUCCAUCCCACAUCACACUGCUGAAGGCCUCUCUCUGAGCUGUCAGCACUCUCUCUGCCUAUCUAGUUCCCAAGGCAGGUUUCCAUGCCAGAAAACCACAUCCCAACUCUGUGGUGUCCCAGACCAGCCGCCCCACACUCCAUUACACUUAAAUCUACACAUGAAAGAACACAAGACACAAUAACCUUUGGCCCAAUUGAUAAGAUAUAAUUGCCCACCUAAACAUGCAAUCCAAUACACAUCCAUCCCUUAAAAACAUUCAUAACAACCUGUAAAGGUACAGUGUGGAAUCUUAACGUCACCUGCCAUCUACCUCCAGCUUCCAUAUAUGCAUAUGCAUAUAUAUGUGUGUGUGUGUGUGUGUAUGUGUGCAUAUAUAUAUACAUAUAUAUAUAUACUUGUACUCAUAACUCACAUACAUGUACAUGCCUCUAUGAAGUAUGUACUGAGUAAAUACUAAGUACUAUAUGUACUUUCUGUACUAAAUCAGUUCUGUAUGUAUUAAGUAAUAUAUAACAAACACACACACACACACAAACUAAUAACACAACACGCACAUGCAUACACAGCAAAAAAUAAUGUAAAUAAUAUGCUUUCUAUGAUUAUGUGGUUUUAUUGUGUAAGGUUUGAUUUUUUGCCUUUGUCUCUGUGAGAAUAUACACACGUGUCUAUAUGUGCCCAUGGAAGUCAGAGGAAGGCAUCAGGUCCCUCAGAGCUGUAGUUACAGUGUAGGUGGAUGUACCAUGCCUGGCUUUCUGCUGUAAGCGCUGGGAUCCUGACAUUAGUCCUCAUGAUUCUGUAGCAAGUACCCUUACCUAAGCCAUCUCUCUAGCUCCAAGAAAGUGGUUUUAAGAUGUCUCAACUGAACCUAAAAAACUGGAGGCUCAGCAAAAUUUGUCAGGCAACAACUCUUGAAUUUUGCAAGUUUGGAAGGGAGAAGAGAAAUUGAAAAUAAGAUGGUGAGACUGUGUUGUGGAGAACAUCCCACAAUAAAGCUACAUCUAAUCCCAGGGCAGUGUGAAAUCAAAUAAAAUAUGGAACAAUCCAAAGUCAUAAUACAAAGUGCUUAUUGUUUGAGAGUUUCAUACAGUCUUAGAACAUGGUGAAUCAAAUCCACUCUCCUUUUCCCACUCAGCCACUCAUCUCUUCCCCUAAUCUCUCAUCAUUUUCCCUUCUCAAAUUCAUGUGCUCCUGUUAAAAACUCACGGAAUGCACCUAGUGCUACCAUGAAGUGCAUGCAUGUGGAGCCAUGAACUGGAACAGAGUCCAUCAAGAGCUACAUCCCUUAAGCAAACUGAUGCCCGAUCUCCUGGUAACCAUCAGUUGCCAAUAGCUCACCUAGGAAUGGGACUUCGAGAACCAUCUCCUCAUCCAUAGGUAUUUUGGCUGCCCUGGUCCCAUGCCUAUCAUAUACAUGCCUUCAUAGCCAACACGGAUCUAGACGUACUCCUGUUAGUGUAAUUUGGGUAGACAUGAUAGAGUAAAACUGUCUCCUCUACACUGCAAUGGAUGGAUUCUUUGGGAAAAAGUAGGGAAAAUAGAAAAUAGUAAUAAAGACUCUGCAACCAGUCACAGUAUCAUGACAUUAACACAGUUAAGAUGAGGUGCCAGACGGAAUCAGACUCAGGAUCAUGUAGGUGAACAAUGGCGAAAGAGGCAGAGUCAAGAAAUGCUAUGUGGCUUGCUAACGGUAAGUGUUGGGGGUAUAUAUGGUGUAUCUGUGAUAUUGUGUGCAGUGUGAGAACAGGGGGAUAAAAGGUCAAGCAGAGCAUUGCAUCAGAAUGAAUGAAUAGUAUCUGAAGCAACACAAGAGAGGAAGAGAGCAGACUAUAGAAAAACAUGGGAAAGAUUUGCUCCUGAAAAUAAACCUGGGUUUUUCCAUCUAGUAGUUCUAAAAGGUGGGAUUCUGGAAAUCAAACAACAGAAUGGACAAAUCCCAAAGUACUAGAUUCUCUUUCUCUUUUUUAUUGGAUAGUUUAUGUAUUUACAUUUUGAAUGUUAUCCUCUUUCCCCCUCUCUCAUGCCCCCUCCCUUACUUCUAUGAAGAUGAUCACCCUCCCACCCACUCCCAUAUCAACACCCUGGCAUUACCCUACACUGGGGAAAUGGGGCUUCAUAGGACCAAAGGUCUCUCUUCCCAUUGUUGCCAGACAAUGUCAUUCUCUGCUACAUGUGCUGCCGGAGCCCUGGAUCCCCUCAAGUAUACUCUUUAGUUGGUGGUUUCGUCCCCGGGAGUGCACCCAGAGAGUUCAACUUUCUGCUGAACUAUUCUACACAACCCUCAUCCCCCUACCGCAGAAAGAGAGAGAGAGAGAGAGAGAGAGAGAGAGAGAGAGAGAGAGAGAGAGAGCAGCUAAUGAUUGGAGAAAAUUCAGAAGUAGGAGCCAUUCUACUGGUUUUAAAACCUGCUGGCUGUUUUACAUAUCAACAUAGUUAUAAAAGUUCAUGGUGGCAGAAUUGUGGAGAAGGAUGCUACCAGAGUGGAAAAACAGGAAUGCCUUGCAGAAUUUUGAUUUAGAGCCCCCGUUGUAAAUGCCAGUUGUUCCACUGGCUUCAUUUUGCUAAUGCAAGAACAUCUUCUGCAGUAAUAACAUAUUUCAGUGGAAUGUCUUUUUAAUAAUCCUUAAUUUGAGUUUUAAUUCCCUUGAUAGCCACUUUAAAGAGACAACUACAUUCCUAAAGUAACAGUUCAGAAGCAUAUCUGAGUACAGACCAAUAGCAUUCAGGUACACACGUACACACCAGCAGAAGAAAGAGCGUCCCUAGAUUAUAACACAGAUCCAUAUUUCUUAAAAUCAAUGUCAUCAAAAUAAUGCCCUAAAAACCUUUUAAUAAGCAGUCACCUCAAAUUCCAUAGACAUCAGCAAUUAGUGGUGUGCUCUUUAGUGGGAUCUGGGUAGAAGGUGGAGGUAGAAAAUGAAGACAUAAUGACAGAAACAAAAGAGAUGACUAGAGACAAAGAACAACUUGAAGCACUGCUGCAGAAGCCUGGGCAAGCUCCUGCUUAAACCUGGAUUCAAGGUAACUUAGCAUCUUAUUCUGCAGAUCUAACCAAUAAGUUAUGUUGAGAUCAGUGAGUUGGUAUGGAUGGAUCCAAGUAACAGAGCUGCCACAAGAAACAUAAAACAUCAACAAAAAUUGUGUGUGUGUGUGUGUGUGUGUGUGUGUGUGUGUGUGUAUGCGCGCGCGCGUGCGCGAGCACGCGUUGGAUCCAACGCAUGCAGUUGGAUCCAUUUGUGUGUUUCUCCUUUCCUUUGCUCACCUGAGUGAUGGGUGGAAAAUUGCUCACACCUGCUACCCACACACUCCUUAUCCAUCUUCAAAUGACUUCUCACCAGAAGUCGUUCUUUUUUUUUUUAUUCAUUUAUUAUAUAUAAGUACACUGUAGCUGUCUUCAGAUACACCAGAAGAGGGCAUCGGAUCUCUUUACAGAUGGUUGUGAGCCACCAUGUGGUUGCUGGGAAUUGAACUCAGGACCUCUGGAAGAGCAGUCAGUGCUCUUGACCGCUGAGCCAUCUCUCCAGCCCCAGAAGUCGUUCUUAACUGUUUCAUGAAUCUAGACCUGAAAUUUGAGUCAGAAGAAUCAGAGGAACUUAGACACCAUGAAAGAAACAUCAGCAAUCUUACAUAUUUAAAGAACAGACUUCACCUGGCUACUUCGGAGGGAGGAAGGGUGGCCCAUGGAUUAACAAAAGGUAAAGAGCAGAUGCCCAUGUGUAUAUGUGGGAGUUACUCUCCCACCUUUUCCCCUUGGAUCAAGUCUCUUGGUUGCUAAGGCGUUUUGUUUGUAUUUAUUUACAGCCAUGCAGGUCUUCUUCAUUAAAGUCACUAGGACAGUUACUAACAGGGACUUUACAAAUCAAUUAAGGAGAGUCUGGUCUGUGUCUGUCUUAUUCACUAAGCUGUUUCCACAAUCUCGUAGUCACUCGAAAGAUACAUACUUAGUUGCUAAGCUAUUAAAUUGAGAAGAGAAAGAACAAGGCAUCUGGAUGUGGGGAACUGGGAAUAGACGUCAGAAGACUUAAGGGGACCUGUUGGGAUGAAUGCAAUCAUAAUACAUUGUAUGAAAUUCUCAAAGAAUUAGUAAGACAUUUAUUCGUACAAAAAUAGAUGUAUCUAUGGGGACUGGACAAGUUACCUAAGAGUUAUGCGUCCUUGCUCCUCCUGCAAAUAACCUGAGUUCCUUCCCACCACUCACGUCAGGCAGCUCACAGCCUCUUGUGUGUCCAACUCUAGGGAUUUUGACAUCCUAUUCUGGCCUCCAUCAGCAAAUACGAUCAAGUACAGACACACACACACACACACUUUAAAAUAAGUGUUUAAAAUGAAUAUGGGCUUGAGGCAGAGGAAAGGAAUUUGAGAUAAAAGAAAUGCAGAAAGAAUGAGAAAAAGAGAGACCAGGAAGAAAG
Non-coding RNA from Rattus norvegicus (Norway rat), 5841 nucleotides. Lineage: Eukaryota; Metazoa; Chordata; Mammalia; Rodentia; Muridae. The record is from RefSeq and is a predicted model, not a curated record.